AGAGUUUGAUCAUGGCUCAGAUUGAACGCUGGCGGAAUGCUUUACACAUGCAAGUCGAACGGCAGCACGGGAGCUUGCUCCUGGUGGCGAGUGGCGAACGGGUGAGUAAUGCGUCGGAACGUACCGAGUAAUGGGGGAUAACGCACCGAAAGGUGUGCUAAUACCGCAUACGCCCUGAGGGGGAAAGCAGGGGAUCGCAAGACCUUGCGUUAUUCGAGCGGCCGACGUCUGAUUAGCUAGUUGGUGGGGUAAAGGCCUACCAAGGCGACGAUCAGUAGCGGGUCUGAGAGGAUGAUCCGUCACACUGGAACUGAGACACGGUCCAGACUCCUACGGGAGGCGGCAGUGGGGAAUUUUGGACAAUGGGGGCAACCCUGAUCCAGCCAUUCCGCGUGAGUGAAGAAGGCCUUCGGGUUGUAAAGCUCUUUCAGCUGGAACGAAACGGUACGCUCUAACAUAGCGUGCUAAUGACGGUACCAGCAGAAGAAGCACCGGCUAACUACGUGCCAGCAGCCGCGGUAAUACGUAGGGUGCGAGCGUUAAUCGGAAUUACUGGGCGUAAAGCGUGCGCAGGCGGAUUGUUAAGCAAGAUGUGAAAUCCCCGGGCUUAACCUGGGAAUGGCAUUUUGAACUGGCAGUCUAGAGUGUGUCAGAGGGGGGUGGAAUUCCACGUGUAGCAGUGAAAUGCGUAGAUAUGUGGAGGAACACCAAUGGCGAAGGCAGCCCCCUGGGAUAACACUGACGCUCAUGUACGAAAGCGUGGGUAGCAAACAGGAUUAGAUACCCUGGUAGUCCACGCCCUAAACGAUGUCAACUGGUUGUUGGGGGAGUGAAAUCCCUUAGUAACGAAGCUAACGCGUGAAGUUGACCGCCUGGGGAGUACGGUCGCAAGAUUAAAACUCAAAUGAAUUGACG
RNAcentral lists this ribosomal RNA (915 nucleotides) under uncultured bacterium. Its description in RNAcentral is "bacterial SSU rRNA". It matches the Rfam family "Bacterial small subunit ribosomal RNA", at positions 8 to 915 of the family's 1533-position model. The record is from RNAcentral.